CGGGUACCAUUGCUAGAUGGUCACUUCGAUUAGUACAGGAAUUGGUUCCUGUGCUACCGGCUUAGGUUUGAACCUGCGGGGUCACACACAUUAGAGGUUUCUUUCUGAUCUGAUGGCUGAUUAUGAGUCUUAUGUGUUUGGGACUCUAUGAUUGAGAAUUAAGAUUCUCUGAUCAUGAGUUCCACACAUUUUGGGUACCGGGGUCAAAAUUUUGAAUUUCAAAUUUUGAAUUUGAAAUUUGAACUCUUUGAUCAGGAUUUCAUAUCGAUGGUCUCUGAUGCCUAAUUGCCCAUCGAAUUUGGACUCAAUAUUUAUGAGAGAUUUAAUUAGUGAUUU
RNAcentral lists this long non-coding RNA (336 nucleotides) under Elaeis guineensis (African oil palm). RNAcentral's name for it is "long non-coding RNA (EGUI_LNC026246)". The record is from RNAcentral. Lineage: Eukaryota; Viridiplantae; Streptophyta; Magnoliopsida; Arecales; Arecaceae.